This 1346-nucleotide ribosomal RNA is filed under the name uncultured bacterium. RNAcentral describes it as "partial 16S ribosomal RNA". It matches the Rfam family "Bacterial small subunit ribosomal RNA", at positions 28 to 1381 of the family's 1533-position model. The record is from RNAcentral.
GACGAACGCUGGCGGCGUGCUUAACACAUGCAAGUCGAACGGAAAGGCCCUGCUUUUGUGGGGUGCUCGAGUGGCGAACGGGUGAGUAACACGUGAGUAACCUGCCCUUGACUUUGGGAUAACUUCAGGGAACUGGGGCUAAUACCGGAUAGGAGCUCCUGCUGCAUGGUGGGGGUUGGAAAGUUUCGGCGGUUGGGGAUGGACUCGCGGCUUAUCAGCUUGUUGGUGGGGUAGUGGCUUACCAAGGCUUUGACGGGUAGCCGGCCUGAGAGGGUGACCGGCCACAUUGGGACUGAGAUACGGCCCAGACUCCUACGGGAGGCAGCAGUGGGGAAUAUUGCACAAUGGGCGGAAGCCUGAUGCAGCAACGCCGCGUGCGGGAUGACGGCCUUCGGGUUGUAAACCGCUUUCGCCUGUGACGAAGCGUGAGUGACGGUAAUGGGUAAAGAAGCACCGGCUAACUACGUGCCAGCAGCCGCGGUGAUACGUAGGGUGCGAGCGUUGUCCGGAUUUAUUGGGCGUAAAGGGCUCGUAGGUGGUUGAUCGCGUCGGAAGUGUAAUCUUGGGGCUUAACCCUGAGCGUGCUUUCGAUACGGGUUGACUUGAGGAAGGUAGGGGAGAAUGGAAUUCCUGGUGGAGCGGUGGAAUGCGCAGAUAUCAGGAGGAACACCAGUGGCGAAGGCGGUUCUCUGGGCCUUUCCUGACGCUGAGGAGCGAAAGCGUGGGGAGCGAACAGGCUUAGAUACCCUGGUAGUCCACGCUGUAAACGGUGGGUACUAGGUGUGGGGUCCAUUCCACGGGUUCCGUGCCGUAGCUAACGCUUUAAGUACCCCGCCUGGGGAGUACGGCCGCAAGGCUAAAACUCAAAGGAAUUGACGGGGCCCCGCACAAGCGGCGGAGCAUGCGGAUUAAUUCGAUGCAACGCGUAGAACCUUACCUGGGUUUGACAUGGAUCGGGAGUGCUCAGAGAUGGGUGUGCCUCUUUUGGGGUCGGUUCACAGGUGGUGCAUGGCUGUCGUCAGCUCGUGUCGUGAGAUGUUGGGUUAAGUCCCGCAACGAGCGCAACCCUUGUUCACUGUUGCCAGCACGUUAUGGUGGGGACUCAGUGGAGACCGCCGGGGUCAACUCGGAGGAAGGUGGGGAUGACGUCAAGUCAUCAUGCCCCUUAUGUCCAGGGCUUCACGCAUGCUACAAUGGCUGGUACAGAGAGUGGCGAGCCUGUGAGGGUGAGCGAAUCUCGGAAAGCCGGUCUCAGUUCGGAUUGGGGUCUGCAACUCGACCUCAUGAAGUCGGAGUCGCUAGUAAUCGCAGAUCAGCAACGCUGCGGUGAAUACGUUCCCGGGGCU